This 696-nucleotide ribosomal RNA is filed under the name uncultured bacterium. RNAcentral's name for it is "bacterial SSU rRNA". It matches the Rfam family "Bacterial small subunit ribosomal RNA", at positions 8 to 749 of the family's 1533-position model. The record is from RNAcentral.
AGGGUUUGAUCAUGGCUCAGAACGAACGCUGGCGGCAUGCCUAACACAUGCAAGUCGAACGAAGUCUUCGGACUUAGUGGCGCACGGGUGAGUAACAUGUGGGAAUCUACCUAAAGGUUCGGAAUAACUACGGGAAACUGUAGCUAAUACCGGAUGUGUCCGUAAGGAGAAAGAUUUAUCGCCUUUAGAUGAGCCCGCACUGGAUUAGUUUGUUGGUGAGGUAAGAGCUCCACCAAGACUACGAUCUAUAGCUGAUUUGAGAGGAUGAUCAGCCACACUGGGACUGAGACACGGCCCAGACUCCUACGGGAGGCAGCAGUGGGGAAUAUUGGACAAUGGGGGAAACCCUGAUCCAGCAAUGCCGCGUGAGUGAAGAAGGCCUUCGGGUUGUAAAACUCUUUCAUCAAUGAAGAUAAUGACAUUAAUUGAAGAAGAAGCUCCGGCUAACUCCGUGCCAGCAGCCGCGGUAAUACGGAGGGGGCUAGCGUUGUUCGGAAUCACUGGGCGUAAAGCGUAUGUAGGCGGAUCAAAAAGUUAGAUGUGAAAUCCCUGGGCUCAACCCAGGAACUGCAUUUAAAACUAGUGAUCUAGAAUUUGGUAGAGGUUAGUAGAAUUUCCAGUGUAGAGGUGAAAUUCGUAGAUAUUGGAAAGAAUACCGGUGGCGAAGGCGACUAACUGGGCCAUUUUUGACGCUGA